AACGAACGCUGGCGGCAGGCCUAACACAUGCAAGUCGAGCGAGGACUUCGGUCCUAGCGGCGGACGGGUGAGUAACGCGUGGGAACGUGCCCUUUGCUUCGGAAUAGCCCUGGGAAACUGGGAGUAAUACCGGAUGAGCCCUUUGGGGGAAAGAUUUAUCGGCGAAGGAUCGGCCCGCGUUGGAUUAGGUAGUUGGUGGGGUAAUGGCCUACCAAGCCGACGAUCCAUAGCUGGGUUGAGAGGAUGAUCAGCCACACUGGGACUGAGACACGGCCCAGACUCCUACGGGAAGCAGCAGUGGGGAAUCUUAGACAAUGGGGGAAACCCUGAUCUAGCCAUGCCGCGUGAGCGGUGAAGGCCUUAGGGUUGUAAAGCUCUUUCAGCUGGGAAGAUAAUGACGGUACCAGCAGAAGAAGCCCCGGCUAACUCCGUG
Molecule: ribosomal RNA, 433 nt
Filed under: uncultured bacterium
Lineage: Bacteria
Description: partial 16S ribosomal RNA
Rfam family: Bacterial small subunit ribosomal RNA
Source: RNAcentral